UAAAAAGAUCCACCGUUGCAAGAGAGCCGCGUCUUAUUUAAUAGAAAUUAAGAACAAUAAAAAUCGAUAAGAGGAGAAAUUGUUUCGCACUGCAAAACUGAAGAGAAAUACAACAGGACUCUCUAUCAUUCAAGAAUGCCACAUCGUAACGGUAUCUUAGGACGUAGGAAUAUCGAACGGAAAUAUAAACACGUUGCAGCGAAUGCUACUUUCGUUUGAGAAACGUGUAACUCCGGAGACAUGUGUCCGACAAUUCUUCAACGUUUUAUACUUGUAAUUGAGGGCUCGUGAAGCGUCGCAAUUGUGCACGAAGAGCUAUAGGAAAGAAAAUGACAGUGGCACCAAUAUUGUAUUUUUUAAAAGACACAUUGUCUAUGAUACUUUGAACGUAUUGUUGCACACGUACAUUUUUUAAAAGACACAUUGUCUAUGAUACUUUGAACGUAUUGUUGCACGUACGUACAUACAGUGUGUAUAGUGAAAUAUGUAGCCGUUUAUCGAGGACUGUGCACAUGCACGCCAAAACGUGGGCAUUUGCAACACACUUUACCGAGGAUCGACCCUUCAGAAAUUAUGCAUACAUCACUUUGCUGUUUCCAAUCUAUGAUUUACGCUCUUCGACGCAUAUUGAAAACAGAUGCAUCGAUGCAAUCUUUUUCGAUGCAUCGUUCCGCGCGUUUAGGUGUAUUGGACGAACAUAAAAGUUCAAUUUCAGUGUAUCUCUUCUUUUAGAACAGAUGAUAAUUUCUUGUACGAUCGAGCUAUGAGAGAUCUGAAACUUACGCAGUAAAUUAUGGCGAUGGGCGAAAAUUGAAUUAUAAACUGUAAUGAAAAGUUAUAGUAAAAAAAGGGAGUGUGAUAUUCAUAAUUUCUGACUUGAUAUUAACAGAAGCAAUUAAAAUAAUUUACAAGAAAAAUUAGAUGGAAGUUGCAAAAAAAGGUGGAAAUAGAUUUUAACACUGAACAGGUCUUUAAAAAUGAAAAUCGCACGGUGAAGUCAAUAUUUAAUAAAAGGUAAAAGACUAAGGCUAAGGUGAGAAUAACUGGAUCUCAGAAAUUUAUCUGAUCGCGAAUUUACGCGGUGAAAUUAAUAUCUCGGACAGGUAACGCUAAAGAUGUUGCCCAAUUAUUGCAAUUGCCGCUGGAGAAAAAGUUCGUGCUGCAAGAACGGAGUCACAAAAUCAGAUAAAAAGGAAACAGUGGCGCAAGGACGUACGAAAAUAAUAAAUGGUGAUCGAGCACGAGGACGCGAAGGAACGAUUGCUCUUUAAAGAAGAAAAAGAAGGAAGAAAAUUAGAGAGUGGAGAUCAAUUUAGAAUAUUUACUGUACCCACUCUAAUAUUUGUGGAGGUUUGAAACUGAUGUCCAACCGAUACGUGGCUUCGCAGCUUAGCUUCACGGUCUUCAACUGCCGAAAUCUCGCCGAGGUCUCCAUUUUGCAGUAAACUGGACCGGCAGCCGGUUCCCUCCUCAGGGACAAAGUCACUCGAAAAUGUCCAUCAGCACCCAUCUAGUCCCAUAAUUUAACUUUGGUGGGAAUACAAAAAAAAAAAAAGCAGCGCAACGUCUAUUCUGGUGAUCGAUGCUCACAAAAAUGUAGAUGUGAGCUUAAAUCACGCGAUGUGAUCGUUGAGA
Long non-coding RNA from Frieseomelitta varia, 1635 nucleotides. RefSeq lists it as uncharacterized. The record is from RefSeq and is a predicted model, not a curated record. Lineage: Eukaryota; Metazoa; Arthropoda; Insecta; Hymenoptera; Apidae. The transcript is spliced from 2 exons.